This 989-nucleotide long non-coding RNA is filed under the name Equus asinus (donkey). RNAcentral's name for it is "lncRNA (ENSEASG00005024535.1)". Lineage: Eukaryota; Metazoa; Chordata; Mammalia; Perissodactyla; Equidae. The record is from RNAcentral.
GCAUGAGAAGGAAACCAACUCUGCAUAACUGUAGGAUUCUUUACAUGCUAAGCUGAGACAAGGAGGAACAAUUUUAAGAAAUCUAAGCCUACAAGACAUCGACUGUUUUAAUAAAACCGAAGGACAAAAGUGCCAUCAGAAGGGAGAUUUAAGAAGGCUGAAGUUGGCUCCGUCCAUCUGAAGAUGUUUCCAGGAAGGGUCUUCUCUGGCUGAAGGAGUCCAUCUCUUUUAUUCUGUAGCUGACACAUCAUUAUUGAAAAAUUAGAUAUGUCCAUCUCACUCAGUCCAAGGCCAUUGCAACUUUCUGCUUAGAAUUUCUCUUCUCUAGUUUCCCAAGGUCCGUGCAGGCCAGAAGGAUUCCUGUAACCAGGCACAUCAGCAGUCACAAUUCUCACUGUAAAUUACUAAAUUGACAUGUGGAUUUCUUCCUCACUCUAUGCAAGUUUGGUUAGAUCACCUCUGAAAGUCAGCUUCGUCUUUCAAGAACGGCCAUGAUGGUGUUCUGAACCGGAGGAAUCAAAGAAUGACUUUCACAGCGCAAGCUGAAGAAAACAUUCUCAAGAACUUCAACAUGGGAAAGGGAAAUUUUAAAAUAGAAUAAUAUUGAGAACAGUUCAGAAUAAUAGGGAAUAUCGACAUGUCCUGCUUAUGAAAGCUGAGGCGUGUGUCGUCUGUUGUUGAUCUGCUGUCUCCUCAACACAAGGAAUGUCAGUGGUGGAGAAGGACAGUGAGAAGGUGAUUCUCUGUCAUCUCCUAAAUCAUUAACAUGUUCCCUUAUAGCAACCACGUAUUUGUUUUAAGGAUAUUUUCCCUCCAACUUCUUAUAUACUCAAUGUCCAAAGCAUAUCUUUGAAAGAAACAAAUUCAAAAUGCUUUGUUUAUGAGAGUAAAAACUUUUAGCAAAUAUAAAACCAGAGAACUCAUAGAACUGAGCUUCCUUAAAUUCUUUUUGGAAUAUCCGUGAAUAAAAAUGACUAGAUUACAGAAUU